ACCAGAGAUGUCUCCAAGAGCACCAGCAACCCCAGCUAUCUGGAUCUGAAGUGGAUCUGCUCAGAGACAUCCUGGCCCACCCCAAAGAAGAUGCUGCUGCACUCAGAAGACGCCAGAGCUAGCCACCACCCACACUGCAAGUCUGGAAGCUCUGCCAGGACCCAGCAAGGCAGCCUGCUCAGCGAAGGCUUUGUCUCCUGUGGCAGGAAGAGCAACAUUAAGAACAAGAACCCCGGGCUGGACUACCCUUGAGAUUUAAUGACCAGAGCUGAGACCCCCAAGACCACAAUGACUAUGGAGGGCUGUCAUUACCUUGCCUGACCCUCUAAUGCAUCUCAGUUCAUGGAGGCCACUGAGUGAAACCGAAGGCUGGUUUUCCUUGGAAGCCAGCGGCCCAUCCACCUGCUCCACUUCCCUGCCUCUUGCAGCCUCUGCUCAAACACUGUCGUGGCUUGGCAGCACUACAAGGCAGAGUGAAAACAGAUACUUCUGCCCACAUUCCUAUCUCCUCUCAUUUACGCAGAUUAAAUGCUUUCUUUCCUUGUUUUACACUGCUAGGAUUUUCAUCACCCUGUUUUUUCUUUCUCUACAUCAGCUACAAGAAAAAAAAAAAAGGAGUUACUGAGCAACUAAGAUGUCACAACUGUUUUCAGUUUUAUUAAUGAGUUGUUAUACUUAUUUUAUAGAUAGAGAAUUACCAUUAUAACAUUGCUCCAUUGCUCACUCAUCCAUUCACGCAUCUGUCCAUCCGUCCAUCCACCCAUUUGUCCACUCCCCAAAUGGUCAUCAAUUGUCUACUGUGAGCCAAGCAAAGUGCUCCUUACUUUGGACUCUGAAUCCAGUGCUCUUUCUGCUUCACCAUAGACACAUGCCCCUUGAGUAUAAGGGAGCUUGAUUCAUUCAACAAAUAUCUGUUGUCCACCUCCAAUGUACUGGCAUGUUCUAAAUGCAUCCAACAAAAACCAAAAUGAAAAAAAAGAAAAACCCAUUCCUUCAAGGGGAUUGAAUUUGGACUGGGGGAGACAGAUAAAAUAAAAAUAAUAAAGUCAAAUAUAUAUGUUAGUGACAUGUGCCGUGAAGAAUAAUGCCCAAUAGUAUUUCAGGGGCUGCCAAGCUGCUCUCCUGUUUCCUCUUCCUUGGGGCUGAUUGCAUCCCAUGAUGUGCCCAGGUUUUGAGAUGCUCCUCGUGAAUGAAAAUAGAACUGUCUGGUUCCUCCGUCCAUAGCAAGGGAGCCUGGACAGAAAUAACUUCUGUGCGUUUCUCCAGCUACAUUUAGCUGAAAAUAUGUCUAC
This 1292-nucleotide long non-coding RNA is filed under the name Pan troglodytes (chimpanzee). Its description in RNAcentral is "long non-coding RNA NONPTRT015517". The record is from RNAcentral. Lineage: Eukaryota; Metazoa; Chordata; Mammalia; Primates; Hominidae.